This 1210-nucleotide ribosomal RNA is filed under the name uncultured eukaryote. RNAcentral's name for it is "SSU rRNA". It matches the Rfam family "Eukaryotic small subunit ribosomal RNA", at positions 577 to 1804 of the family's 1831-position model. The record is from RNAcentral.
CGGUAAUUCCAGCUCCAAUAGCGUAUAUUAAAGUCGUUGCGGUUAAAAAGCUCGUAGUUGGAGUUCUAUCGGUGAGUGCCGGUCCGCCCUAGUGGUUGGCACACGGCACGCCACCGGCCUUUUCAUGGGGAGUGUGUCUCGCUCUUUGUUGAGUGGCGCGUAAUCCAGGACGUUUACUUUGAGGAAAUGAGAGUGUUUCAAGCAGGCGCUUGCCGUGAAUACGUUAGCAUGGAAUAAUAGCAUCGGACCUCGCUCCUAAGCUGUUGGUUUCCUGGAGAGAGGUAAAGGUGAAUAGGGAUUGUUGGGGGCAUUUGUAUUUAACUGUCAGAGGUGAAAUUCUUGGAUUUGUUGAAGACGGCACUACUGCGAAAGCAUCUGCCAAGGAUGUUCUCAUUGAUCAAGAACGAAAGUUAGGGGAUCGAAGACGAUCAGAUACCGUCUUAGUUUUAACCAUAAACUAUCCCGAUUGGAGAUCGGGGGUCGUUAUUUUUGUGACGCCCUCUGCAUCUUGAGAGAAAUCAAAGCCUUUGGGUUCCGGGGGGAGUAUGGUCGCAAGGCUGAAACUUAAAGGAAUUGACGGAAGGGCACCACCAGGAGUGGAGCCUGCGGCUUAAUUUGACUCAACACGGGGAAACUUACCAGGUCCAGACAAAGUAAGGAUUGACAGAUUGAGAGCUCUUUCUUGAUUCUUUGGGUGGUGGUGCAUGUCCGAUAUUAGUUGGUGGAGUGAUUUGUAUGGUUGAUUGCGUUUACGAGCGAGUCCUCAGCUUGCUAAAUAGUGUCGUUUUCCUUUGGAAGGCGCUCGAUUUAUUAGAGGGACUAUUGGGUUCACCCCAGUAGAAGUUUGUGGCAAUAACAGGUAUGAGAUGCCCUUAGAUGUUCUGGACCCCAUGCGCGCCACCCUGACGUAUUCAUCGAGUUUUCAGUCUCGAACGAGAGGUAUAUGUAAUCUGAUUACCGUUGUCCGUGCUGCGGAUAGAUGAUUUCAAGGGUUCAUCUUCACCGAGGACUUUCUAGUAAUCUCGAAUCAUCAGUUCGCAUUGACUACGUCUCCACCCUUAGGACACCCCGGUCGUCGCCCGGAUCGAGGGAACGCUUUAGCUAGUCGUUCGGAUUGUGGCGAUGUCAUCUUCCUUGGCGAGAGUAUCCAGCGAGAAGUGCUAUCAAACUCUCAUCGUUUAGAGGAAGGUGAAGUCGUAACGGGGUAACC